GUGGUACAGGAUGGCCCCGCGUCUGAUUAGUUGGUUGGCAGGGUAACGGCCUACCAAGACGGCGAUCAGUAGCCGGCCUGAGAGGGUGAACGGCCACACUGGGACUGAGACACGGCCCAGACUCCUGCGGGAGGCAGCAGUGGGGAAUAUUGCACAAUGGGGGAAACCCUGAUGCAGCGACGCCGCGUGAGCGAGGAAGUAUUUCGGUAUGUAAAGCUCUGUCAGCAGGGAAGAAGAAUGACGGUACCUGAAGAAGAAGCACCGGCUAAAUACGUGCCAGCAGCCGCGGUAAUACGUAUGGUGCAAGCGUUAUCCGGAUUUACUGGGUGUAAAGGGAGCGCAGGCGGUUCUGCAAGUCUGAUGUGAAAGCCCGGGGCUCAACCGCGGGACUGCAUUGGAAACUGCGGGACUGGAGUGUCGGAGGGGUAAGCGGAAUUCCUGGUGUAGCGGUGAAAUGCGUAGAUAUCAGGAGGAACACCGGUGGCGAAGGCGGCUUACUGGACGAUGACUGACGCUGAGGCUCGAAAGCGUGGGGAGCAAACAGGAUUAGAUACCCUGGUAGUCCACGCCGUAAACGAUG
Molecule: ribosomal RNA, 580 nt
Filed under: uncultured bacterium
Lineage: Bacteria
Description: bacterial SSU rRNA
Rfam family: Bacterial small subunit ribosomal RNA
Source: RNAcentral